UACGUAGGGGGCAAGCGUUAUCCGGAUUUACUGGGUGUAAAGGGAGUGUAGGCGGCAAGAUAAGUCAGAUGUGAAAACCCGGGGCUCAACCCCGGGACUGCAUUUGAAACUAUCCUGCUUGAGUGUCGGAGAGGUAAGUGGAAUUCCUAGUGUAGCGGUGAAAUGCGUAGAUAUUAGGAGGAACACCAGUGGCGAAGGCGGCUUACUGGACGAUAACUGACGCUGAGGCUCGAAAGCGUGGGGAGCAAACAGG
RNAcentral lists this ribosomal RNA (253 nucleotides) under uncultured bacterium. Its description in RNAcentral is "partial 16S ribosomal RNA". It matches the Rfam family "Bacterial small subunit ribosomal RNA", at positions 524 to 776 of the family's 1533-position model. The record is from RNAcentral.